AAACGACUCUCGACAACGGAUAUCUCGGCUCUCGCAUCGAUGAAGAACGUAGCGAAAUGCGAUACUUGGUGUGAAUUGCAGAAUCCCGUGAACCAUCGAGUCUUUGAACGCAAGUUGCGCCCUAAGCCUUUCGGCCGAGGGCACGUCUGCCUGGGUGUCAC
RNAcentral lists this ribosomal RNA (161 nucleotides) under Didymophysa fedtschenkoana. RNAcentral's name for it is "5.8S ribosomal RNA". It matches the Rfam family "5.8S ribosomal RNA". Rfam says of the family: 5.8S ribosomal RNA (5.8S rRNA) is a component of the large subunit of the eukaryotic ribosome. It is transcribed by RNA polymerase I as part of the 45S precursor that also contains 18S and 28S rRNA. Lineage: Eukaryota; Viridiplantae; Streptophyta; Magnoliopsida; Brassicales; Brassicaceae. The record is from RNAcentral.